UAUGGUGAUUAUGAUAACAUAAGGGAAAAAAAUGAUAUUACCUUAUUAUUAGUGUUGUCCAAAACUGGUGCCAGAAGACUCGGUAAGACCAGAGACGCAAACGUUAGUCAUCUUAAUCAGGCGUAAAGGGUUUGUAGGCUGCUUUAAAAAUUUAAAUCUUUGUAAUAGCUCUGUUACCGUAAUACUAUAUUUAGUUAUUUGAUUUGAUAAUAAAUAAUGUUGUAUAUAAAAUUUAUUAUAUAAAAUAAUAAAAUGAUAUUAAAGAAAAAUAAAUAUCCGUGUAUCAGUAAAGAAAUAAAUGAAUUAAAGCUAGGAUCAAAUUGAGGAUAAACCAAAUAAUACUUAGAGUAGGGCUUAUAUCCGUAGAUACUAAGGGGAAUACUAAAGGUGAAAACUUUUUAUCUACUAUUGAUUGACGCUGAGAAACGAAGGUGAGAAUAGGAAAUAGGAUUAGAUACCCAGAUACCUCUCACUGUCAACGAUGAAUGGUGGUUUGUUAGUUUUAAUAAAAACUGGUAACGAUGUUAACACGAUAACCAUUCCGCCUUGCGAGUACGG
RNAcentral lists this ribosomal RNA (558 nucleotides) under Tricholoma sp. 4 XXD-2021. RNAcentral describes it as "partial small subunit ribosomal RNA". It matches the Rfam family "Bacterial small subunit ribosomal RNA", at positions 438 to 885 of the family's 1533-position model. The record is from RNAcentral. Lineage: Eukaryota; Fungi; Basidiomycota; Agaricomycetes; Agaricales; Tricholomataceae.